RNAcentral lists this ribosomal RNA (223 nucleotides) under Myelochroa indica. Its description in RNAcentral is "partial 18S ribosomal RNA". Lineage: Eukaryota; Fungi; Ascomycota; Lecanoromycetes; Lecanorales; Parmeliaceae. The record is from RNAcentral.
GCCUAUGAACUCCCGCAGCGACUCUAAAGAACUGCAGUUAGUCUGCUCAAACAGUCAGCAGGCAACGCUAUUAAUCUGCGCUGGGAGCGCCUCUACACGGAGGCUCACCAGCAGCCCAAUCUUCUAGGGUUCACAGAUCAAACAAUGGCGGCCGCAAAUCGUGGUUUAGAUAUGAUCGGCCCCAUCCGCUCCGCGGUUGGCGAAUUUGUGGAACCUGCGGAAG